GACGCUGGCGGCAGGCUUACACAUGCAAGUCGAGCGGAGAGAGGUAGCUUGCUACUGAUCUUAGCGGCGGACGGGUGAGUAAUGCUUAGGAAUCUGCCUAUUAGUGGGGGACAACAUUUCGAAAGGAAUGCUAAUACCGCAUACGUCCUACGGGAGAAAGCAGGGGAUCUUCGGACCUUGCGCUAAUAGAUGAGCCUAAGUCGGAUUAGCUAGUUGGUGGGGUAAAGGCCUACCAAGGCGACGAUCUGUAGCGGGUCUGAGAGGAUGAUCCGCCACACUGGGACUGAGACACGGCCCAGACUCCUACGGGAGGCAGCAGUGGGGAAUAUUGGACAAUGGGCGCAAGCCUGAUCCAGCCAUGCCGCGUGUGUGAAGAAGGCCUUAUGGUUGUAAAGCACUUUAAGCGAGGAGGAGGCUACUUUAGUUAAUACCUAGAGAUAGUGGACGUUACUCGCAGAAUAAGCACCGGCUAACUCUGUGCCAGCAGCCGCGGUAAUACAGAGGGUGCAAGCGUUAAUCGGAUUUACUGGGCGUAAAGCGCGCGUAGGCGGCUAAUUAAGUCAAAUGUGAAAUCCCCGAGCUUAACUUGGGAAUUGCAUUCGAUACUGGUUAGCUAGAGUGUGGGAGAGGAUGGUAGAAUUCCAGGUGUAGCGGUGAAAUGCGUAGAGAUCUGGAGGAAUACCGAUGGCGAAGGCAGCCAUCUGGCCUAACACUGACGCUGAGGUGCGAAAGCAUGGGGAGCAAACAGGAUUAGAUACCCUGGUAGUCCAUGCCGUAAACGAUGUCUACUAGCCGUUGGGGCCUUUGAGGCUUUAGUGGCGCAGCUAACGCGAUAAGUAGACCGCCUGGGGAGUACGGUCGCAAGACUAAAACUCAAAUGAAUUGACGGGGGCCCGCACAAGCGGUGGAGCAUGUGGUUUAAUUCGAUGCAACGCGAAGAACCUUACCUGGCCUUGACAUAGUAAGAACUUUCCAGAGAUGGAUUGGUGCC
This 991-nucleotide ribosomal RNA is filed under the name Acinetobacter sp. M.pstv.9.1. Its description in RNAcentral is "bacterial SSU rRNA". It matches the Rfam family "Bacterial small subunit ribosomal RNA", at positions 32 to 1018 of the family's 1533-position model. Lineage: Bacteria; Pseudomonadati; Pseudomonadota; Gammaproteobacteria; Moraxellales; Moraxellaceae. The record is from RNAcentral.